Molecule: transfer RNA, 76 nt
Filed under: Muribaculaceae bacterium
Lineage: Bacteria; Pseudomonadati; Bacteroidota; Bacteroidia; Bacteroidales; Muribaculaceae
Description: tRNA-Met
Rfam family: tRNA
About the family: Transfer RNA (tRNA) molecules are approximately 80 nucleotides in length. Their secondary structure includes four short double-helical elements and three loops (D, anti-codon, and T loops). Further hydrogen bonds mediate the characteristic L-shaped molecular structure. tRNAs have two regions of fundamental functional importance: the anti-codon, which is responsible for specific mRNA codon recognition, and the 3' end, to which the tRNAs corresponding amino acid is attached (by aminoacyl-tRNA synthetases). tRNAs cope with the degeneracy of the genetic code in two manners: having more than one tRNA (with a specific anti-codon) for a particular amino acid; and 'wobble' base-pairing, i.e. permitting non-standard base-pairing at the 3rd anti-codon position.
Source: RNAcentral
GCCAGAUAGGACAAGCGGUUAAGUCACGGUCUUCAUACGGCUUGAGGGGAUGGUUCGACUCCAUCAUCUGGCACCA